RNAcentral lists this ribosomal RNA (460 nucleotides) under uncultured bacterium. Its description in RNAcentral is "partial 16S ribosomal RNA". It matches the Rfam family "Bacterial small subunit ribosomal RNA", at positions 338 to 795 of the family's 1533-position model. The record is from RNAcentral.
CCUACGGGAGGCUGCAGUGAGGAAUAUUGGUCAAUGGGCGGAAGCCUGAACCAGCCAAGUAGCGUGCAGGAUGACGGCCCUACGGGUUGUAAACUGCUUUUAUACGGGAAUAACGCGCCUUACGUGUAGGGCUUUGCAUGUACCGUAUGAAUAAGGACCGGCUAAUUCCGUGCCAGCAGCCGCGGUAAUACGGAAGGUCAGGGCGUUAUCCGGCUGUCUUGGGUUUAAAGGGAGCGUAGGCCGCAUGUCCAGCGUGCGGGUAAAUGGCCGGGCUCAACCCGGGCCGUGCAGCGCGAACUGGCGUGCUUGAGUCCGCGGAAAGCAGGCGGAAUUCGUCGUGUAGCGGUGAAAUGCUUAGAUAUGACGAAGAACCCCGAUUGCGAAGGCAGCUUGCUGCAGCGGAACUGACGCUGAUGCUCGAAAGCGCGGGUAUCGAACAGGAUUAGAUACCCCAGUAGUC